Molecule: ribosomal RNA, 440 nt
Filed under: uncultured bacterium
Lineage: Bacteria
Description: partial 16S ribosomal RNA
Rfam family: Bacterial small subunit ribosomal RNA
Source: RNAcentral
AGGGAAUCUUCCACAAUGGACGCAAGUCUGAUGGAGCAACGCCGCGUGAGUGAAGAAGGCUUUCGGGUCGUAAAACUCUGUUAUUGAAGAAGAACGUGCGUGACAGUAACUGGUCAUGCAGUGACGGUAUUCAAUCAGAAAGUCACGGCUAACUACGUGCCAGCAGCCGCGGUAAUACGUAGGUGGCAAGCGUUGUCCGGAUUUAUUGGGCGUAAAGCGAGUGCAGGCGGUCUUUUAAGUCUGAUGUGAAAGCCUUCGGCUUAACCGAAGAAGGGCAUCGGAAACUGGGAGACUUGAGUGCAGAAGAGGAGAGUGGAACUCCAUGUGUAGCGGUGAAAUGCGUAGAUAUAUGGAAGAACACCAGUGGCGAAGGCGGCUCUCUGGUCUGUAACUGACGCUGAGGCUCGAAAGCGUGGGUAGCAAACAGGAUUAGAUACCCU